CACGUAGGGUGCGAGCGUUGUCCGGAAUUAUUGGGCGUAAAGAGCUUGUAGGCGGUCUGUCGCGUCUGCUGUGAAAAUCCGGGGCUCAACCCCGGACCUGCAGUGGGUACGGGCAUGACUGGAGUUCGGCAGGGGAGACUGGAAUUCCUGGUGUAGCGGUGAAAUGCGCAGAUAUCAGGAGGAACACCGGUGGCGAAGGCGGGUCUCUGGGCCGAUACUGACGCUGAGGAGCGAAAAGCGUGGGGGAGCGAACAGG
This 256-nucleotide ribosomal RNA is filed under the name uncultured bacterium. Its description in RNAcentral is "partial 16S ribosomal RNA". It matches the Rfam family "Bacterial small subunit ribosomal RNA", at positions 524 to 776 of the family's 1533-position model. The record is from RNAcentral.